GGACUUAUAGCUCAGCGGUAGAGCAACCGCCUGCAGAGCGGUAGGUCUCCGGUUCAAAUCCGGGUGGGUCCU
This 72-nucleotide transfer RNA is filed under the name Caulochytrium protostelioides. It matches the Rfam family "tRNA". From Rfam's summary of the family: Transfer RNA (tRNA) molecules are approximately 80 nucleotides in length. Lineage: Eukaryota; Fungi; Chytridiomycota; Caulochytriomycetes; Caulochytriales; Caulochytriaceae. The record is from Rfam by way of RNAcentral.